RNAcentral lists this long non-coding RNA (1360 nucleotides) under Macaca mulatta (Rhesus monkey). Its description in RNAcentral is "lncRNA (ENSMMUG00000059484.1)". The record is from RNAcentral. Lineage: Eukaryota; Metazoa; Chordata; Mammalia; Primates; Cercopithecidae.
UAUAUAUGAAAUUUAAAAAUUGAAAUCUCCAACUGUUCUUUGACAGCUUCAAAAUAUCCUUUGUGUUGGUCCUUCGAGCUUUUAUUUGGAGUCUCGGCUGCCUUGGUGAUUCCUGCCUUUAUGUCCCUAGCUCGUGGCUUCGUCCUUGUGUCUAACUCACAGGCAGACAGAUGGAAAGGAAAGUUGUGUUCAGCCAACAGCUUGAUCUUAUUCUCAAGGCUCAAAUCGACUGGGUAUUUGGAGACUUCUGUGCAAAUUGGCAUUUUUGGUUUUUAAACAUGGUGUCUUUCUUGUACUUCAAAUGGGUAACUGGUUCUCUUGGAAAAGAUAUAGCCAUAAAGCUGGUUUAAAAAAAAAAUGGGAGUGGGUGUGAGAGAAUGGCUUAGAAAUUACACCAGUAAUCGCAGGGCGUGGUGGCUUACGCAUGUAAUUCCAGCACUUUGAGAGGAUGAGGCAGGUGGGUCACCUGAGGUCAGGAGUUGGAGACCAGCCUGGCCAACAUGGUGAAACCCCGUAUGUACUGAAAAUACGAAAAUUAGCCAGGCACGGUGACAGGGACCUGUAAUACCAGUUACUUGGGAGGUUGAGGCAGGAGAAUCACUUGUACCCGGGAGGCAGAGGUUGCAGUGAGCCGAGAUUGUGCCACUGCACUCCACCCUGGGUGACAGAAGAGAAACUCCAUCUCAAGAAAAAAACAAAAGAUAAACACCCCGCUAAUGGAAACCUGAUGCGUCAUCUGUGAUGGAGAUGGCCGAUUAUUUCACUUUUAGUGACAGGAUGAAUUGGAUAUGUUUGCAGUAUUGAUCUUGACAAGGGAAAUGGUCAGAACCAAAUGUGCCCCCAGCUUGGGCCUCGCGGUUGGCAGAAGACCCUGGUGGGCAACAGACUGGAGACUCGGAGACCGAGGGGAGAAUUCUCACGCCGUGACGCUGUUGCAGUCACUGCUUCUGGACUCCUGCUGGAGGGAGCGGCCCCUUCGCCUUGCAGGCUUUGGUGCAGUGGAGACCUUAGGACCUGCCCCUCCUCUCCUGGGCUGUGUGUGAAGAGCUGCCCAGCGGAAUUGCCCUGCUGCCUGGUGUUUCAUUCACCAGAAAUCGUUCUCACUGUGGACUCUUGACUCAAAUGUAAUCCAGGAAUGGAACGUGCUGUUGCUGGAUGCCACACGCAGCAUCGGGAGCCUAGUUGGGGAUUAUAUGAUCUUACCCCACACCUUAAAAGUGAAGAUUAUUGUUGUCAGGCCUCUGAGCCCAAGCCAAGCCAUCGCAUCCCCUGUGACUUGCAUGUAUACGCCCAGAUGGCCUGAAGUAACUGAAGAAUCACAAAAGAAGUGCAAAUGCCCUGCCCGGCCUUAACUGAUGAC